Molecule: unclassified non-coding RNA, 370 nt
Filed under: Artemisia niitakayamensis
Lineage: Eukaryota; Viridiplantae; Streptophyta; Magnoliopsida; Asterales; Asteraceae
Description: partial external transcribed spacer
Source: RNAcentral
UUUGGUUUGUUACGUGUGGUUGGCUGCGGCGUUUGCAACAACUUCCAUGCUCUCAGACCUCUUCAGUUGUGCGGCAAGGCNUGUAUCGCCUUGAGCGUAUCGUGGGUUUUCUGUGUUGGCUACCUAAUCGACGGUAUCGUUUGGAUUGAUCAAAGUGUGAUUUCGUCUUCCGUCGCGUUUGCGGCGUGAGGUGAACCUUGACGCGGUCUCUUUGAUCCAUCUCGUCGAAGCANAUGCUUUGACGUUGUGGCACAUUGGGCAUUGCUUGGUCUCUUGUGUACGGAACACGUAGCGGGCAUGGAUCUAACGAUUCUUGUUUGCCCUCAUAUUAGCGUAACGCUUCUCAAACACGACUUGCAUCGCGUUUUAG